This 253-nucleotide ribosomal RNA is filed under the name uncultured bacterium. Its description in RNAcentral is "partial 16S ribosomal RNA". It matches the Rfam family "Bacterial small subunit ribosomal RNA", at positions 524 to 776 of the family's 1533-position model. The record is from RNAcentral.
GACGUAGGGCGCGAGCGUUGUCCGGAUUUAUUGGGCGUAAAGAGCUCGUAGGCGGCUUGUUGCGUCGUCCGUGAAAACUCGAGGCUCAACCUCGAGCCUGCAUUCGAUACUGGGCGGCUAGAGUCUGGUAGGGGGAUCUGGAAUUCCUGGUGUAGCGGUGGAAUGCGCGGAUAUCAGGAGGAACACCGGUGGCGAAGGCGGGAUCCUGGGCCAGUACUGACGCUGAUGAGCGAAAGCGUGGGGAGCAAACAGG